This 1180-nucleotide ribosomal RNA is filed under the name Nothoderodontus sp. DDM0152. Its description in RNAcentral is "eukaryotic LSU rRNA". It matches the Rfam family "Eukaryotic large subunit ribosomal RNA", at positions 70 to 1113 of the family's 3401-position model. Lineage: Eukaryota; Metazoa; Arthropoda; Insecta; Coleoptera; Derodontidae. The record is from RNAcentral.
AAGGAUUCCCUUAGUAACUGCGAGCGAACAGGGAGAAGCCCAGCAUCGAAUCCCGCGUCGUAACCGGCGCGGGAAAUGUGAUGUAUGAGAGGGUCCGUCUAACUCGCGUUCGCGCGGCGCGUCCAAGUCCUUCUUGAAGGGGGCCUCAAUCCCGUAGAGGGUGCCAGGCCCGUCGCGAUGGCCGCCGGGCGCGAGUAGAUCCUCUUUUGAGUCGAGUUGCUUGAAAAUGCAGCUCUAAGUGGGUGGUAAACUCCAUCUAAGGCUAAAUAUUACCACGAGACCGAUAGCAAACAAGUACCGUGAGGGAAAGUUGAAAAGAACUUUGUAUAGAGAGUUCAAUAGUACGUGAAACCGUUCAGGAGUAAACCUGAGAAACCCGAAUGAUCGAACGGGGAGAUUCAUUCGUCUCUCGACCGGCGCCCUCGCGGCGUCGGCGAAGGCGUGCACUUCUCCCUUAGUAGUUCGUCUCGAACCGCUGGGCGCCUGACGAUGGACGGCCGUGCGGCUCGUCGGCCCCUCGCGGGGUCCGGCGAACCGGUCGCUCCUGUCGCGCGGCUCGGCGGUACAUAAGAGCGUAACGCGAGACUCGUUCUCACCCGGCGCGUGGCCCUCGCGGUCGCGCCGUCGGGCAGUCGUCUCGCUAGUCGGAGACGCGAUAGCUUUGGGUACUUUCAGGACCCGUCUUGAAACACGGACCAAGUAGUCUAGCACUUGCGCGAGUCAAUGAGAAGCGAAACUCAAAGGCGCAAUGAAAGUGAAGGCGGGCUUCGGCCCGUCUAGGGAAGAUGCGUCGCGUUCGCGCGGCGCCGCACUCCCGGGACGUCUCGUUCGCACUCGCCUCGGCGGGGAGAGUCGUACCUAUAGCGUAAGUGCUGGGACCCGAAAGAUGGUGAACUAUGCCUGGUCAGGACGAAGUCAGGGGAAACCCUGAUGGAGGUCCGAAGCGGUUCUGACGUGCAAAUCGAUCGUAAGAACUGGGUAUAGGGGCGAAAGACUAAUCGAACCAUCUAGUAGCUGGUUCCCUCCGAAGUUUCCCUCAGGAUAGCUGGCGCUCGGCUUACGAGUCGCAUCCGGUAAAGCGAAUGAUUAGAGGCAUUGGGAUCGAAACGAUCUCAACCUAUUCUCAAACUUUAAAUGAGUGCGAUCUUCGGCUUUCUUNAACCGAAGCCGAAGUCGGAUU